Molecule: ribosomal RNA, 253 nt
Filed under: uncultured bacterium
Lineage: Bacteria
Description: partial 16S ribosomal RNA
Rfam family: Bacterial small subunit ribosomal RNA
Source: RNAcentral
UACGUAGGGUGCAAGCGUUGAUCGGAAUUACUGGGCGUAAAGCGUGCGCAGGCGGCUUUGCAAGACAGAUGUGAAAUCCCCGGGCUCAACCUGGGAACUGCAUUUGUGACUGCAUGGCUGGAGUGCGGCAGAGGGGGAUGGAAUUCCGCGUGUAGCAGUGAAAUGCGUAGAUAUGCGGAGGAACACCGAUGGCGAAGGCAAUCCCCUGGGCCUGCACUGACGCUCAUGCACGAAAGCGUGGGGAGCAAACAGG